AGCGUUAUCGGAUUACUGGGCGUAAGGGCGCGUAGGCGGUUAUUUAAGUUAGAUGUGAAAUCCCUGGGCUUAACCUAGGAACUGCAUCUGAUACUGGAUGGCUGGAGUGUAGUAGAGGGUAGUGGAAUUUCCGGUGUAGCGGUGAAAUGCGUAGAUAUCGGAAGGAACACCAGUGGCGAAGGCGGCUACCUGGACUAACACUGACGCUGAGGCGCGAAAGCGUGGGGAUCAAACAGGAUUAGAUACCCUGGUAGUCCACGCUGUAAACGAUGAGAACUAGAUGUUGGUAGGCAUGACCUAUUAGUAUCGAAGCUAACGCGAUAAGUUCUCCGCCUGGGGAGUACGGCCGCAAGGCUAAAACUCAAAGGAAUUGACGGGGGCCCGCACAAGCGGUGGAGCAUGUGGUUUAAUUCGAUGCAACGCGAAGAACCUUACCUACCCUUGACAC
RNAcentral lists this ribosomal RNA (448 nucleotides) under uncultured type I methanotroph. Its description in RNAcentral is "bacterial SSU rRNA". It matches the Rfam family "Bacterial small subunit ribosomal RNA", at positions 537 to 987 of the family's 1533-position model. Lineage: Bacteria; Pseudomonadati; Pseudomonadota; Gammaproteobacteria; Methylococcales; Methylococcaceae. The record is from RNAcentral.